CAAUCGAUGCUGUAUGUUAGCAACAUUGUUGUGGUUUUCAUAAUGGUGAUGGAAAUCCUGUUGAGAGGUACGCAUGAGGCUGCUUUUUAUGGGCUGGAAAGCAGAUGUUUUGUACACAAAUUUGGUUGUUGAUGCCCCUGCUGGCUCACUUAUAACUGCAGACUUGGUAAAAGCAUUAUUGUUGUGGAAUCCGUAUCAAUGUUAUUGCUACCGCCAUUUGAAUUCUGGUUAGGAGGAUUGUCGCUAGAGUGAGAUUGAACAUCAAGAGACGAAUCUUUCUUUGUAACUUCUAAACUGUUAUUAUGCGGAGAGGAGUGAAUUGAGGUGCUUUUUGAUUAUAAGUUAUUCAUAUGUCAUGUACAUGAAUGAUUAUGAUUGAAUGUGUUAAUACCUUAGGAUUGGCAUUAAUUUUGUAAAA
This 418-nucleotide long non-coding RNA is filed under the name Lathyrus oleraceus (garden pea). RNAcentral's name for it is "Pisum sativum (pea) long non-coding RNA (PSAT_LNC027783)". Lineage: Eukaryota; Viridiplantae; Streptophyta; Magnoliopsida; Fabales; Fabaceae. The record is from RNAcentral.